Molecule: ribosomal RNA, 450 nt
Filed under: uncultured bacterium
Lineage: Bacteria
Description: bacterial SSU rRNA
Rfam family: Bacterial small subunit ribosomal RNA
Source: RNAcentral
GUGGGGAAUAUUGGACAAUGGGCGAAAGCCUGAUCCAGCCAUGCCGCGUGUGUGAAGAAGGUCUUCGGAUUGUAAAGCACUUUAAGUUGGGAGGAAGGGCAGUAAGUUAAUACCUUGCUGUUUUGACGUUACCAACAGAAUAAGCACCGGCUAACUUCGUGCCAGCAGCCGCGGUAAUACGAAGGGUGCAAGCGUUAAUCGGAAUUACUGGGCGUAAAGCGCGCGUAGGUGGUUCAGCAAGUUGGAGGUGAAAUCCCCGGGCUCAACCUGGGAACUGCCUCCAAAACUACUGAGCUAGAGUACGGUAGAGGGUAGUGGAAUUUCCUGUGUAGCGGUGAAAUGCGUAGAUAUAGGAAGGAACACCAGUGGCGAAGGCGACUACCUGGACUGAUACUGACACUGAGGUGCGAAAGCGUGGGGAGCAAACAGGAUUAGAAACCCUAGUAGUCC